GGGUUGUGAGGUUAAGCGACUAAGCGUACACGGUGGAUGCCCUGGCAGUCAGAGGCGAUGAAGGACGUGCUAAUCUGCGAUAAGCGUCGGUAAGGUGAUAUGAACCGUUAUAACCGGCGAUUUCCGAAUGGGGAAACCCAGUGUGAUUCGUCACACUAUCAUUAACUGAAUCCAUAGGUUAAUGAGGCGAACCGGGGGAACUGAAACAUCUAAGUACCCCGAGGAAAAGAAAUCAACCGAGAUUCCCCCAGUAGCGGCGAGCGAACGGGGAGGAGCCCAGAGCCUGAAUCAGUGUGUGUGUUAGUGGAAGCGUCUGGAAAGGCGCGCGAUACAGGGUGACAGCCCCGUACACAAAAAUGCACAUACUGUGAGCUCGAUGAGUAGGGCGGGACACGUGGUAUCCUGUCUGAAUAUGGGGGGACCAUCCUCCAAGGCUAAAUACUCCUGACUGACCGAUAGUGAACCAGUACCGUGAGGGAAAGGCGAAAAGAACCCCGGCGAGGGGAGUGAAAAAGAACCUGAAACCGUGUACGUACAAGCAGUGGGAGCCUCUUUUAUGGGGUGACUGCGUACCUUUUGUAUAAUGGGUCAGCGACUUAUAUUCUGUAGCAAGGUUAACCGAAUAGGGGAGCCGAAGGGAAACCGAGUCUUAACCGGGCGUUAAGUUGCAGGGUAUAGACCCGAAACCCGGUGAUCUAGCCAUGGGCAGGUUGAAGGUUGGGUAACACUAACUGGAGGACCGAACCGACUAAUGUUGAAAAAUUAGCGGAUGACUUGUGGCUGGGGGUGAAAGGCCAAUCAAACCGGGAGAUAGCUGGUUCUCCCCGAAAGCUAUUUAGGUAGCGCCUCGUGAAUUCAUCUCCGGGGGUAGAGCACUGUUUCGGCAAGGGGGUCAUCCCGACUUACCAACCCGAUGCAAACUGCGAAUACCGGAGAAUGUUAUCACGGGAGACACACGGCGGGUGCUAACGUCCGUCGUGAAGAGGGAAACAACCCAGACCGCCAGCUAAGGUCCCAAAGUCAUGGUUAAGUGGGAAACGAUGUGGGAAGGCCCAGACAGCCAGGAUGUUGGCUUAGAAGCAGCCAUCAUUUAAAGAAAGCGUAAUAGCUCACUGGUCGAGUCGGCCUGCGCGGAAGAUGUAACGGGGCUAAACCAUGCACCGAAGCUGCGGCAGCGACACUGUGUGUUGUUGGGUAGGGGAGCGUUCUGUAAGCCUGUGAAGGUGUGCUGUGAGGCAUGCUGGAGGUAUCAGAAGUGCGAAUGCUGACAUAAGUAACGAUAAAGCGGGUGAAAAGCCCGCUCGCCGGAAGACCAAGGGUUCCUGUCCAACGUUAAUCGGGGCAGGGUGAGUCGACCCCUAAGGCGAGGCCGAAAGGCGUAGUCGAUGGGAAACAGGUUAAUAUUCCUGUACUUGGUGUUACUGCGAAGGGGGGACGGAGAAGGCUAUGUUGGCCGGGCGACGGUUGUCCCGGUUUAAGCGUGUAGGCUGGUUUUCCAGGCAAAUCCGAAAAAUCAAGGCUGAGGCGUGAUGACGAGGCACUACGGUGCUGAAGCAACAAAUGCCCUGCUUCCAGGAAAAGCCUCUAAGCAUCAGGUAACAUCAAAUCGUACCCCAAACCGACACAGGUGGUCAGGUAGAGAAUACCAAGGCGCUUGAGAGAACUCGGGUGAAGGAACUAGGCAAAAUGGUGCCGUAACUUCGGGAGAAGGCACGCUGAUAUGUAGGUGAAGUCCCUCGCGGAUGGAGCUGAAAUCAGUCGAAGAUACCAGCUGGCUGCAACUGUUUAUUAAAAACACAGCACUGUGCAAACACGAAAGUGGACGUAUACGGUGUGACGCCUGCCCGGUGCCGGAAGGUUAAUUGAUGGGGUCAGCGCAAGCGAAGCUCUUGAUCGAAGCCCCGGUAAACGGCGGCCGUAACUAUAACGGUCCUAAGGUAGCGAAAUUCCUUGUCGGGUAAGUUCCGACCUGCACGAAUGGCGUAAUGAUGGCCAGGCUGUCUCCACCCGAGACUCAGUGAAAUUGAACUCGCUGUGAAGAUGCAGUGUACCCGCGGCAAGACGGAAAGACCCCGUGAACCUUUACUAUAGCUUGACACUGAACAUUGAGCCUUGAUGUGUAGGAUAGGUGGGAGGCUUUGAAGUGUGGACGCCAGUCUGCAUGGAGCCGACCUUGAAAUACCACCCUUUAAUGUUUGAUGUUCUAACGUGGACCCGUGAUCCGGGUUGCGGACAGUGUCUGGUGGGUAGUUUGACUGGGGCGGUCUCCUCCUAAAGAGUAACGGAGGAGCACGAAGGUUGGCUAAUCCUGGUCGGACAUCAGGAGGUUAGUGCAAUGGCAUAAGCCAGCUUGACUGCGAGCGUGACGGCGCGAGCAGGUGCGAAAGCAGGUCAUAGUGAUCCGGUGGUUCUGAAUGGAAGGGCCAUCGCUCAACGGAUAAAAGGUACUCCGGGGAUAACAGGCUGAUACCGCCCAAGAGUUCAUAUCGACGGCGGUGUUUGGCACCUCGAUGUCGGCUCAUCACAUCCUGGGGCUGAAGUAGGUCCCAAGGGUAUGGCUGUUCGCCAUUUAAAGUGGUACGCGAGCUGGGUUUAGAACGUCGUGAGACAGUUCGGUCCCUAUCUGCCGUGGGCGCUGGAGAACUGAGGGGGGCUGCUCCUAGUACGAGAGGACCGGAGUGGACGCAUCACUGGUGUUCGGGUUGUCAUGCCAAUGGCACUGCCCGGUAGCUAAAUGCGGAAGAGAUAAGUGCUGAAAGCAUCUAAGCACGAAACUUGCCCCGAGAUGAGUUCUCCCUGACCCUUUAAGGGUCCUGAAGGAACGUUGAAGACGACGACGUUGAUAGGCCGGGUGUGUAAGCGCAGCGAUGCGUUGAGCUAACCGGUACUAAUGAACCGUGAGGCUUAACCUUACAACGCCGAAGGUGUUU
RNAcentral lists this ribosomal RNA (2930 nucleotides) under Escherichia coli. Its description in RNAcentral is "23S ribosomal RNA". It matches the Rfam family "Bacterial large subunit ribosomal RNA". The record is from RNAcentral. RNAcentral also lists the same sequence under 1 other name. Lineage: Bacteria; Pseudomonadati; Pseudomonadota; Gammaproteobacteria; Enterobacterales; Enterobacteriaceae.